This is a long non-coding RNA of Gymnodraco acuticeps, 451 nucleotides long. RefSeq lists it as uncharacterized. The record is from RefSeq and is a predicted model, not a curated record. The transcript is spliced from 4 exons. Lineage: Eukaryota; Metazoa; Chordata; Actinopteri; Perciformes; Bathydraconidae.
CAGUUGCUCAACAGUCCAAAUAAAAGGAGUCUGACACUCUGGCAGCACACAUCUGAAGAAUCAACACCGCAGCAGGACUAAACAAGACACGUGAAAACAUGAAAGACUGUGGAUUCUCGCUCUCAUGGUGUUGGUGGUGGUCAGCCAGGGUGAAGCGUUGAAUUGUUACUGCAAAUCCAACUACAACAUAUGUUCAGGCCCAGCUGAGACUUGCGUCGGUUUCUAUCAAGUCUGUGGCAGCAUUCUGAAUACUAUUACAACAACUACAAGGGCUGCAUGAGUGCAGAUGAGUGCAAGGAGCGGAGAAGCUCAGAAUCUGACAUCUGCUGCAGCCAAGAUCUGUGUAACUGAUACAUGAACGGCAUGCAGCACAACUUCCAGUUAUAAUAAUAAUCUGCACUCAUGAGCUGUAUAUUAUUUCCUUAAUAAAGAUCAAUAAGUUGCAGCAAUA